This 394-nucleotide ribosomal RNA is filed under the name uncultured bacterium. RNAcentral's name for it is "partial 16S ribosomal RNA". It matches the Rfam family "Bacterial small subunit ribosomal RNA", at positions 523 to 918 of the family's 1533-position model. The record is from RNAcentral.
AUACGUAGGGGGCUAGCGUUAUCCGGAAUUACUGGGCGUAAAGGGUGCGUAGGUGGUUUCUUAAGUCAGAAGUGAAAGGCUACGGCUCAACCGUAGUAAGCUUUUGAAACUAAGAGACUUGAGUGCAGGAGAGGAGAGUAGAAUUCCUAGUGUAGCGGUGAAAUGCGUAGAUAUUAGGAGGAAUACCAGUUGCGAAGGCGGCUCUCUGGACUGUAACUGACACUGAGGCACGAAAGCGUGGGGAGCAAACAGGAUUAGAUACCCGGGUAGUCCACGCCGUAAACGAUGAGUACUAGCUGUCGGGGGUUACCCCCCUCGGUGGCGCAGCUAACGCAUUAAGUACUCCGCCUGGGAAGUACGCUCGCAAGAGUGAAACUCAAAGGAAUUGACGGGG